This 442-nucleotide ribosomal RNA is filed under the name uncultured bacterium. RNAcentral's name for it is "partial 16S ribosomal RNA". It matches the Rfam family "Bacterial small subunit ribosomal RNA", at positions 338 to 795 of the family's 1533-position model. The record is from RNAcentral.
CCUACGGGUGGCAGCAGUCGAGAAUCUUUGACAAUGGACGCAAGUCUGACCCAGCGACGCCGCGUGAAGGAAGGAGGCUUUCGGGUUGUAAACUUCUUGUAAGGGGGGAGAGAAGAAGACGGUACCCCUUGCAUGAGCCACGGCUAACUACGUGCCAGCAGCCGCGGUCAUACAUAGGUGGAAAGCGUUGUCCGGAUUUACUGGGUGUAAAGGGCGUGCAGACGGAGAGACACGUCAGAUGUGAAAGCCACGGGCGCAACCCGGGAACUGCAUAUGAAACUGGGUCCCUUGAGUGUCGGAGAGGGAAUCGGAAUUCUUGGUGUAGCGGUGAAAUGCGUAGAUAUAAGGAAGAACACUAGUGGCGAAGGCGGAUUACUGGACGAUAACUGACGGUGAGGCGCGAAAGCGUGGGGAGCAAAAAGGAUUAGAUACCCCUGUAGUC